Molecule: ribosomal RNA, 253 nt
Filed under: uncultured bacterium
Lineage: Bacteria
Description: partial 16S ribosomal RNA
Rfam family: Bacterial small subunit ribosomal RNA
Source: RNAcentral
UACGUAGGGCGCAAGCGUUGUCCGGAAUUAUUAGGCGUAAAGAGCUCGUAGGCGGCCUGUCGCGUCUGCUGUGAAAUCCCGGGGCUCAACCCCGGGCCUGCAGUGGAUACGGGCUGGCUGGAGGCAGGCAGGGGAGAACGGAAUUCCUGGUGUAGCGGUGAAAUGCGCAGAUAUCAGGAGGAACACCGGUGGCGAAGGCGGUUCUCUGGGCCUGUACUGACGCUGAGGAGCGAAAGCGUGGGGAGCGAACAGG